GCAUUAAUGGGGUAGUGGUAACCUGGGUCGUUGCCACUGAUGCUCGUCAUCGAGCCUCGACCCGCCGGGGGUUCAAUUCCCCCUUAAUGCA
This is a non-coding RNA of Mycena sp. CBHHK59/15, 91 nucleotides long. Lineage: Eukaryota; Fungi; Basidiomycota; Agaricomycetes; Agaricales; Mycenaceae. The record is from the annotation of a GenBank genome assembly.